Molecule: ribosomal RNA, 106 nt
Filed under: Escherichia coli SE15
Lineage: Bacteria; Pseudomonadati; Pseudomonadota; Gammaproteobacteria; Enterobacterales; Enterobacteriaceae
Source: RNAcentral
GCGGCAGUAGCGCGGUGGUCCCACCUGACCCCAUGCCGAACUCAGAAGUGAAACGCCGUAGCGCCGAUGGUAGUGUGGGGUCUCCCCAUGCGAGAGUAGGGAACUG